UGUGGGGCGGGGGCGAGGUUCGGGCUGGUUGUUCCGUUGCGAGCUGCAGCUGCGAUCUCUGUGGUAGGCCCAGGUCAAGAGUCUUCAUCUCCAGCUGCCUCAGUUUUCUUAUCACUAAAACAGCAAUGACCCUGACUUUUUUCGUUUGUGGAAGUACUGUUGUAGUCUGUUCUGUAAUUCUAGACAGUCUGACGUGUGUAUUAUGAUUUAGAAGCUUGUUAAAUAGCCAAAACCGGCUCCUGCCAUGAACAACUUGUGGAGCAAAUCGGGCUCAGUUUGUUCUUUGCCGGGAGAUGUAUUUUGUGAGCCAAUGUUCAUACGUUAAUGAUAAGUUUUACUGCAGCCAUUUGGGCUUAAUUGCAUUUUGUAAGAGAGUUGUGUUGAGGUUUCUGUAAGAAGUGAUUUGAUU
RNAcentral lists this long non-coding RNA (409 nucleotides) under Homo sapiens (human). RNAcentral describes it as "HSALNT0004902". Lineage: Eukaryota; Metazoa; Chordata; Mammalia; Primates; Hominidae. The record is from RNAcentral.